GACGAACGCUGGCGGCGUGCCUAAUACAUGCAAGUAGAACGCUGAAGAGAGGAGCUUGCUCUUCUUGGAUGAGUUGCGAACGGGUGAGUAACGCGUAGGUAACCUGCCUUGUAGCGGGGGAUAACUAUUGGAAACGAUAGCUAAUACCGCAUAACAAUGGAUGACACAUGUCAUUUAUUUGAAAGGGGCAAUUGCUCCACUACAAGAUGGACCUGCGUUGUAUUAGCUAGUAGGUGAGGUAAUGGCUCACCUAGGCGACGAUACAUAGCCGACCUGAGAGGGUGAUCGGCCACACUGGGACUGAGACACGGCCCAGACUCCUACGGGAGGCAGCAGUAGGGAAUCUUCGGCAAUGGGGGCAACCCUGACCGAGCAACGCCGCGUGAGUGAAGAAGGUUUUCGGAUCGUAAAGCUCUGUUGUAAGUCAAGAACGGGUGUGAGAGUGGAAAGUUCACACUGUGACGGUAGCUUACCAGAAAGGGACGGCUAACUACGUGCCAGCAGCCGCGGUAAUACGUAGGUCCCGAGCGUUGUCCGGAUUUAUUGGGCGUAAAGCGAGCGCAGGCGGUUUGAUAAGUCUGAAGUUAAAGGCUGUGGCUCAACCAUAGUUCGCUUUGGAAACUGUCAAACUUGAGUGCAGAAAGGGAGAGUGGAAUUCCAUGUGUAGCGGUGAAAUGCGUAGAUAUAUGGAGGAACACCGGUGGCGAAAGCGGCUCUCUGGUCUGUAACUGACGCUGAGGCUCGAAAGCGUGGGGAGCGAACAGGAUUAGAUACCCUGGUAGUCCACGCCGUAAACGAUGAGUGCUAGGUGUUGGAUCCUUUCCGGGAUUCAGUGCCGCAGCUAACGCAUUAAGCACUCCGCCUGGGGAGUACGACCGCAAGGUUGAAACUCAAAGGAAUUGACGGGGGCCCGCACAAGCGGUGGAGCAUGUGGUUUAAUUCGAAGCAACGCGAAGAACCUUACCAGGUCUUGACAUCCCGAUGCUAUUUCUAGAGAUAGAAAGUUACUUCGGUACAUCGGUGACAGGUGGUGCAUGGUUGUCGUCAGCUCGUGUCGUGAGAUGUUGGGUUAAGUCCCGCAACGAGCGCAACCCCUAUUGUUAGUUGCCAUCGUUCAGUUGGGCACCCUAGCGAGACUGCCGGUAAUAAACCGGAGGAAGGUGGGGAUGACGUCAAAUCAUCAUGCCCCUUAUGACCUGGGCUACACACGUGCUACAAUGGUUGGUACAACGAGUUGCGAGUCGGUGACGGCGAGCUAAUCUCUUAAAGCCAAUCUCAGUUCGGAUUGUAGGCUGCAACUCGCCUACAUGAAGUCGGAAUCGCUAGUAAUCGCGGAUCAGCACGCCGCGGUGAAUAAGUUCCCGGGCCU
Molecule: ribosomal RNA, 1369 nt
Filed under: uncultured bacterium
Lineage: Bacteria
Description: bacterial SSU rRNA
Rfam family: Bacterial small subunit ribosomal RNA
Source: RNAcentral